GCUCAUUAAAUCAGUUAUCGUUUAUUUGAUAGUACCUUACUACUUGGAUAACCGUGGUAAUUCUAGAGCUAAUACAUGCUAAAAACCCCAACUUCGGGAGGGGUGUAUUUAUUAGAUAAAAAACCAAUGCCCUUCGGGGCUCCUUGGUGAUUCACAAUAACUUCUCAGAUCGCAUGGCUUUACGCCGGCGACGGUUCAUUCAAAUUUCUGCCCUAUCAACUUUCGAUGGUAAGGUAGUGGCUUACCAUGGUUUCAACGGGUAACGGGGAAUUAGGGUUCGAUUCCGGAGAGGGGGCCGGAGGAACGGCCACCACAUCCAAGGAAGGCAGCAGGCGCGCAAAUUACACAAUUCCGAUACGGAGAUGUAGUGACAAUAAAUACUGAUACAGGGCUCUUUUGGGUCUUGUAAUUGGAAUGAGUACAAUUUAAAUCUCUUAACGAGGAACAAUUGGAGGGCAAGUCUGGUGCCAGCAGCCGCGGUAAUUCCAGCUCCAAUAGCGUAUAUUAAAGUUGUUGCAGUUAAAAAGCUCGUAGUUGAACCUUUGGCCUGGCUGGCAGGUCCGCCUCACCGCGUGCACUUGUCCGGCCGGGCCUUUUCUUCUGGAGAACCGCAUGCCCUUCACUGGGUGUGUUGGGGACCAGGACUUUUACUUUGAAAAAAUUAGAGUGUUCAAAGCAGGCCUUUGCUCGAAUACGUUAGCAUGGAAUAAUAGAAUAGGACGUGCGGUCCUAUUUUGUUGGUUUCUAGGACCGCCGUAAUGAUUAAUAGGGACAGUCGGGGGCAUCAGUAUUCAAUUGUCAGAGGUGAAAUUCUUGGAUUUAUUGAAGACUAACUACUGCGAAAGCAUUUGCCAAGGAUGUUUUCAUUAAUCAGUGAACGAAAGUUAGGGGAUCGAAGACGAUCAGAUACCGUCGUAGUCUUAACCAUAAACUAUGCCGACUAGGGAUCGG
This 951-nucleotide ribosomal RNA is filed under the name Pseudocamarosporium pteleae. RNAcentral describes it as "SSU rRNA". It matches the Rfam family "Eukaryotic small subunit ribosomal RNA", at positions 96 to 1056 of the family's 1831-position model. The record is from RNAcentral. RNAcentral also lists the same sequence under 1 other name. Lineage: Eukaryota; Fungi; Ascomycota; Dothideomycetes; Pleosporales; Didymosphaeriaceae.